This 63-nucleotide transfer RNA is filed under the name Camelus bactrianus (Bactrian camel). It matches the Rfam family "tRNA", at positions 5 to 66 of the family's 71-position model. Rfam says of the family: Transfer RNA (tRNA) molecules are approximately 80 nucleotides in length. RNAcentral also lists the same sequence under 2 other names. The record is from Rfam by way of RNAcentral. Lineage: Eukaryota; Metazoa; Chordata; Mammalia; Artiodactyla; Camelidae.
GUAUCGCUCAGUGGCCGAGCGCGUGCCUAGCACACACGAGGUCCUGGGUUCAAUCCCUAGUAC